This 292-nucleotide ribosomal RNA is filed under the name uncultured bacterium. RNAcentral's name for it is "partial 16S ribosomal RNA". It matches the Rfam family "Bacterial small subunit ribosomal RNA", at positions 505 to 796 of the family's 1533-position model. The record is from RNAcentral.
GUGCCAGCCGCCGCGGUAAGACGGAGGGUGCAAGCGUUGUUCGGAAUUACUGGGCGUAAAGCGCGGGCAGGUGGCCUUUUAAGUCCUUUGUGAAAUCCCGGGGCUCAACUCCGGAUGUGCAUAGGAUACUGGAAGGCUUGAGACAGGUAGAGGCGAGCGGAAUUCCUGGUGUAGCGGUGGAAUGCGUAGAUAUCAGGAAGAACACCGGUGGCGAAGGCGGCUCGCUGGGCCUGUUCUGACACUCAUCCGCGAAAGCGUGGGGAGCAAACAGGAUUAGAAACCCGCGUAGUCC